UGAGAGAGAGUGUGUGUGUGUGUGAGAGAGAGAGUGUGUGUGAGAGAGAAUAAAUGUGCUCUACAUGGCUGAUGUUCUUGUUUCUAAAUGUCUCACUGAUUCGGUGGAAUCUGAGCCCGAAAAUAUUUUGGAGGGUAAUUUAGAUGUGUCUGUUUUCUCUGCAUUGUAGGCUGGAGGUAGUGAUGACACCGUGCUGCGCUACUCCUCCCAGUACGAGGAGAGACUGGAUCCGUUUGCUUCCUUCAGCAGGAAGGAGCGUCAGCGUCGAUACCUGAGCCUCAGCCCCUGGGAUAAAGCGACUCUGAGCCUGGGUCGUGUGAUUCUCUCCAACAAGAUGGCCAGGACUGUUGCCUUCUUCUACACCCUGUUCCUGCAUUGUUUGGUCUUCUUGGUGUUGUACAAGACUGCUUGGAGCGAGAGUAUCGGCAGAGACUGCACCGCUUUCUGUGCUAAAAAGUACUCUGACCACCUCCACCGUUUCCAUGAGAACGACCAAAACCUUUAAGCUGUCACAGAGUAAUGUCACCUCGCCCCAGUGAGCUGGUUCAAUGUUCAGCAGCGUGCAUCACGUGCAUAAGAGUUCAAAUCUACCUGAUUAUGCUGCUCGUGAAGACAGACAGCUUUACUUUUCUUCUUGCAGUAGCCUGCAUUUCUACUAGGGGGCAGUUUAGGUCUGUAAACUGCAAAUCAAAUAGUUGAUUAAUUCCUUUAAUUCCUUCUAUAUUAAUAUAAUAAUCUUUAAAAGUUACUUCUGGUUUUCAUUUACUAAUUAUUGAUCUUCAAUAAGUUGUGAUUAAUCUAUAAGUCUAGCAGAACUAUAACUUAAGGUUCCUUAUUAUACUCAUAUAUUAACAUAAUGCUAAAAGAAAGCCAAUCGUGAAUAGUCUGUUUAAGGGACCACAAUACUUGUUUGUGUUAUGGGUUUUUUUUCUAGGUUUAGCUGGAAUUUAUAAUAGUUACAGAAUUAAAUAAAUAAAGAUAAAGUUGAUAUAAUAUUAAAGGUAAUAUGGUUAACACUAUAAUUGAUGUUUGAUUGGAGAGUACUGUGAAAGGUGGGAUAUUAAGGAGGAGGUGGUUAUUUUAAGAGAUUCUGGUGGUGGAACAAAAUAUACAGUAGUUAUAAGUUUACUUUUCAUUCCUUUGAGAUUUGCCAUACUUGAGUUUAACUAAUAGGAUUGCUAAGUACAAUAAUGACGUGUCUUUGGUGGAGAAAUCACCUGGUUACUUUCUAUUCAGAGACCAUUCGCUCCUCACAUGACUGAUGAGGGUUUGCAGCAGUAAUACAGUUACGCUUACUGAGUCUAUGAUACUGAUAUUCUUCUCCAAGACAAAAUACUGUGCAUGUUUACUUGAUAUACUCCAAAUAAAGACUAUGCAGCAAUAUCUGUUGUAUCAUUUUC
Molecule: long non-coding RNA, 1400 nt
Organism: Morone saxatilis (striped sea-bass)
Lineage: Eukaryota; Metazoa; Chordata; Actinopteri; Moronidae
Exons: 5
Source: RefSeq, a predicted model, not a curated record